ACCAUUUUGCUCUCUGCCUUCCCCUCACCGCGACACCGCGCUCUCCCCCACCCCAACCACAGCCUCCCGGCUUUCCUCCCCCGACUACGGCUCGCACCCCACCCCACCUCCAGUUCGGGCUCUCCUAGGCUUAGGAGCCUGCCGGAGAAAAGGAACCUAAAUCUACUGCUACACAGAGAAGCGGAGCCUCCAUCUUGCGCUGCUCCGCGUUCUCCAUUUUGGGCCACCCAUGGGGGGGGGGGGUCUCCGUAGAGGCCCCGAGGGAGAGUUGGGCGAGGGAAGGAAGAGAAAAUCUUCAGCGAGGGUAGUCGAAAAGAAGAGCCCUGCGGUAGAAAGCCACUCUAGGAGUAGGAGUGUAUUGGACCUUUGACCGCCAAGAGCUCUUUACUCGGGGGAGAAAAACUCGAGGAGGGCCUAUCCCCUCCAAAGCGCCGCUUUUUCCUUGGACAGGAAGAAGUGACCUAUUGCAGUGUCUCCAUUGCUGUUAUAGAAGUUCGUAGAUUCAUAAAAUAGUGUUUGCUUAAGAA
This 527-nucleotide long non-coding RNA is filed under the name Homo sapiens (human). RNAcentral's name for it is "non-protein coding lnc-THOC2-5:4". The record is from RNAcentral. Lineage: Eukaryota; Metazoa; Chordata; Mammalia; Primates; Hominidae.